This is a non-coding RNA of Eurypyga helias (sunbittern), 49 nucleotides long. The record is from Rfam. NCBI's taxonomy places the organism in Eukaryota, Metazoa, Chordata, Aves, Eurypygiformes, Eurypygidae.
CAAAAGGCUUCUUGUCACGAAGCCACAUAUAUUAAAAACAGAGGUAUUU